CAGUAGUCUUUCUUACCUAGAGCAUAUGCCUCGACGGCAAAAUUCACCUUAAUUUUAAUGAGCUUGGUGGAUUUGUGAAAGGCCUCCACAGCUGACCACCCUGCCUCAGCGACUUGCCUCUCCAUCUUUUUUUCGACUUCAAGAACUUCGGCCUGCGCUGCCCGACGUCUUUCUCUCUCUCGACAGUCAAAUCUACUUUGGCUUCUUUUUUGGCCUCUUCUUUAUCUGCCUUUGUCCUUUCUAAUUCGAUCCUUAGCUAUUCGGCUUCAACUUCAGCAUCCCUUAGCCUUUCAUGUGCCUCAGCAAGCUUUGACUCUACUUCUUAUAUCGAGAUAAUAAAAAGCCACAACCUGAUGCCCCAGUAGAACCAACUAAACAUGGAUCAGUAAAAAUACUAAGAGUUCAAAGAAGAGUUCAAAAGAACUCACCCAGAC
RNAcentral lists this long non-coding RNA (434 nucleotides) under Elaeis guineensis (African oil palm). Its description in RNAcentral is "long non-coding RNA (EGUI_LNC062225)". Lineage: Eukaryota; Viridiplantae; Streptophyta; Magnoliopsida; Arecales; Arecaceae. The record is from RNAcentral.